UGGGGAAUAUUGCGCAAUGGGCGAAAGCCUGACGCAGCGACGCCGCGUGGAGGAUGAAGGUUUUCGGAUUGUAAACUCCUGUUAAGUGGGAAGAAAGUUUCGUCUUUAAUAGAGGCGAAGUAUGACGGUACCAUUAGAGAAAGCACCGGCUAACUUCGUGCCAGCAGCCGCGGUAAUACGAGGGGUGCAAGCGUUAUUCGGAUUUACUGGGCGUAAAGAGUGCGUAGACGGUUUGUCAAGUCUGCUGUUAAAUUCUUCGGCUUAACCGAGGGUCAGCAGUAGAAACUGAUAGGCUAGAGUGUGGGAGAGAGAAGUGGAAUUCCCGGAGUAGCGGUAAAAUGCGUAGAUCUCGGGAGGAACACCGAUGGCGAAGGCAGCUUCUUGGUCCACUACUGACGUUGAGGCACGAAAGCGUGGGGAGCAAACAGGAUUAGAUACCCCCGUAGUCC
RNAcentral lists this ribosomal RNA (449 nucleotides) under uncultured bacterium. RNAcentral describes it as "bacterial SSU rRNA". It matches the Rfam family "Bacterial small subunit ribosomal RNA", at positions 355 to 796 of the family's 1533-position model. The record is from RNAcentral.